AUUGAAUUAAUAAAACGAGUUUAUAGGAAAAUUUGAAAAGAAAUCAAAAUUAAACUGAAAUUAAUAAAAACCUCAAAGUGGAAUUCGAAUACAACAGAUCAACUCUUUGAGAAUUAGCUCUCCAAGGUAUUCAUAUGCCUUAUUCUCUAUUUCAUGAAUUCUGAAUUCCCCCAAUCCUAAAACUACUAAGUUGUUUAAAUAGAGCAAGGGAAUUUGGGCCUAAUGGCAACCGACCCGAAAAAAUACAAAAUCGGCCCAAAAACUAAG
RNAcentral lists this long non-coding RNA (267 nucleotides) under Lathyrus oleraceus (garden pea). RNAcentral's name for it is "Pisum sativum (pea) long non-coding RNA (PSAT_LNC020898)". Lineage: Eukaryota; Viridiplantae; Streptophyta; Magnoliopsida; Fabales; Fabaceae. The record is from RNAcentral.